Molecule: ribosomal RNA, 377 nt
Filed under: uncultured organism
Description: partial 16S ribosomal RNA
Rfam family: Bacterial small subunit ribosomal RNA
Source: RNAcentral
GUAGGUGGCAAGCGUUGUCCGGAUUUAUUGGGGCGUAAAGCGCGCGCAGGCGGCUAUGUAAGUCUGGUGUUAAAGCCCCGGGGGCUCAACCCCCGGGUUCGCAUCGGAAACUGCGUAGCUUGAGUGCAGAAGAGGAAAGCGGUAUUCCACGUGUAGCGGUGAAAUGCGUAGAGAUGUGGAGGAACACCAGUGGCGAAGGCGGCUUUCUGGUCUGUAACUGACGCUGAGGCGCGAAAGCGUGGGGAGCAAACAGGAUUAGAUACCCUGGUAGUCCACGCCGUAAACGAUGAGUGCUAGGUGUUGGGGGUUUCAAUACCCUCAGUGCCGCAGCUAACGCAAUAAGCACUCCGCCUGGGGAGUACGCUCGCAAAGAGUGA